Molecule: ribosomal RNA, 206 nt
Filed under: uncultured bacterium
Lineage: Bacteria
Description: partial 16S ribosomal RNA
Rfam family: Bacterial small subunit ribosomal RNA
Source: RNAcentral
AGCGCAGGCGGGAAGGUAAGUCUAUCUUAAAAGUGCGGGGCUCAACCCCGUGAGGGGAUAGAAACUAUUUUCCUUGGGUGCAGGAGAGGAAGGCGGAAUUCCUAGUGUAGCGGUGAAAUGCGUAGAUAUUAGGAGGAACACCAGUGGCGAAGGCGGCUUUCUGGACUGUAACUGACGCUGAGGCUCGAAAGCCAGGGGAGCGAACG